This 480-nucleotide long non-coding RNA is filed under the name Mytilus galloprovincialis (Mediterranean mussel). The record is from RNAcentral. Lineage: Eukaryota; Metazoa; Mollusca; Bivalvia; Mytilida; Mytilidae.
UCCAGAUCCCCACCCCUAAACCAUAUAUAUUCUUGUAGUGGACAAUAAAACAAAUGAAAUGAAAUAAAAGGGAAGUCCCGAGGGAGUCACCCCACCCCCUCUUGUUUGAAAACUUGUAAACGGUCAACAUCCCCACCCCUAAACCAUAUAUAUACUUGUAUGGGAUAAUAAAGCUAAUCAAAUGAAAUUUAAGGGAAGUUCCUGGGGGUUGCCCCACCCGUUCAAUUUGAGAAUGUGCUAUUAUCUUGUAAAUGGUCCAGAUCCCCACCCCUAAACCAUAUUUAUUCUUGUAGGGGACAAUAAAACAAAUGAAAUGAAAUAAAAGGGAAGUCCCGAGGGGUCACCCCACCCCCUCUUGUUUGAAUACUUGUAAACGGUCAACAUCCCCACCCCUAAACCACAUAUAUUCUUGUAUUGGACAAUAAAACAAAUCAAAUGAAAUGUAGGUAAAGUCUCUGGGGGUUACCACCACCUCCUCCU